Molecule: ribosomal RNA, 600 nt
Filed under: Merluccius hubbsi (Argentine hake)
Lineage: Eukaryota; Metazoa; Chordata; Actinopteri; Gadiformes; Merlucciidae
Description: partial 16S ribosomal RNA
Rfam family: Bacterial large subunit ribosomal RNA
Source: RNAcentral
UGUUUAUCAAAAACAUCGCCUCUUGUCCCUCAGAAUAUAAGAGGUCCCSCCUGCCCUGUGACUAUAUGUUUAACGGCCGCGGUAUCUUAACCGUGCGAAGGUAGCGUAAUCACUUGUCUUUUAAAUAAGACCUGUAUGAAUGGCAUCACGAGGGCUUAACUGUCUCCCCUCUCCAGUCAAUGAAAUUGACCUCCCCGUGCAGAGGCGGGGAUAUUUCUAUAAGACGAGAAGACCCUGUGGAGCUUUAGACCUAAAAUAAACCACGUUUAAUAUACUAAAAUUAAUAGCAAAAACUUAGUGGACAUUUAUUUAAGUGUCUUUGGUUGGGGCGACCGCGGAGUAAAACACAACCUCCAUGUGGACGGGGAUACUAUCCCUAAAACUCAGAGCCUCCACUCCAAGCAACAGAAAUUCUGACCUCACUGAUCCGGUACAGCCGAUUAACGAACCCAGUUACCCCAGGGAUAACAGCGCAAUCCCCUCUCAGAGCUCAUAUCGACGAGGGGGUUUACGACCUCGAUGUUGGAUCAGGACAUCCUAGUGGUGCASCCGCUAUUGAGGGUUCGUUUGUUCAACGAUUAAAGUCCUACGUGAUCUGAG